UUGACCUCAAAUCAGGUAGGACUACCCGCUGAACUUAAGCAUAUCAAUAAGCGGAGGAAAAGAAACUAACAAGGAUUCCCCUAGUAACUGCGAGUGAAGCGGGAAAAGCUCAAAUUUGAAAUCUGGCAGUCUUUUUUUUCUUCUUUGGCUGUCCGAGUUGUAAUCUAGAGAAGUGCUUACCUGCACUGGACCAUGUAUAAGUCUCCUGGAAUGGAGCGUCACAGAGGGUGAGAAUCCCGUCUUUGACAUGGACUGCCAGUGUGUUGUGGUGUGCUCUCAAAGAGUCGAGUUGUUUGGGAAUGCAGCUCUAAAUGGGUGGUAAACUCCAUCU
This 331-nucleotide ribosomal RNA is filed under the name Amanita populiphila. RNAcentral's name for it is "eukaryotic LSU rRNA". It matches the Rfam family "Eukaryotic large subunit ribosomal RNA", at positions 1 to 311 of the family's 3401-position model. The record is from RNAcentral. Lineage: Eukaryota; Fungi; Basidiomycota; Agaricomycetes; Agaricales; Amanitaceae.